AGUGAACGCUGGCGGUAGGCCUAACACAUGCAAGUCGAACGGCAGCACAGUAAGAGCUUGCUCUUACGGGUGGCGAGUGGCGGACGGGUGAGGAAUACAUCGGAAUCUACUUUUUCGUGGGGGAUAACGUAGGGAAACUUACGCUAAUACCGCAUACGACCUACGGGUGAAAGCAGGGGAUCUUCGGACCUUGCGCGAUUGAAUGAGCCGAUGUCGGAUUAGCUAGUUGGCGGGGUAAAGGCCCACCAAGGCGACGAUCCGUAGCUGGUCUGAGAGGAUGAUCAGCCACACGGGAACUGAGACACGGUCAAGACUCCUACGGGAGGCAGCAGUGGGGAAUAUUGGACAAUGGGCGCAAGCCUGAUCCAGCCAGACCGCGUGGGUGAAGAAGGCCUUCGGGUUGUAAAGACCUUUUGUUGGGAAAGAAAAGCAGCAGGUUAAUACCCAGCUGUUCUGACGGUACCCAAAGAAUAAGCACCGGCUAACUUCGUG
RNAcentral lists this ribosomal RNA (492 nucleotides) under uncultured bacterium. Its description in RNAcentral is "partial 16S ribosomal RNA". It matches the Rfam family "Bacterial small subunit ribosomal RNA", at positions 29 to 507 of the family's 1533-position model. The record is from RNAcentral.